AAGAAGAUAAUUUAAUGGCAAAAUAUUGAUCUCCAAAAUCAAUUUUAAGGGUUCGAUUCCCUUUCUUCUUG
RNAcentral lists this transfer RNA (71 nucleotides) under Actinophrys sol. RNAcentral's name for it is "tRNA-Trp". It matches the Rfam family "tRNA". From Rfam's summary of the family: Transfer RNA (tRNA) molecules are approximately 80 nucleotides in length. Their secondary structure includes four short double-helical elements and three loops (D, anti-codon, and T loops). The record is from RNAcentral. Lineage: Eukaryota; Actinophryidae.